GGCCUAAUACAUGCAAGUCGAACGGCAAGAGUUUUAGCAAUAGAACUUCUAGAGUGGCGAACGGGUGCGUAACGCGUAUGCAACCUACCCUAUACAGGGGGAUAGCCCGGAGAAAUCUGGAUUAAUACCCCAUGGUAUCAUUGAGCUGCAUGGUUUAAUGAUUAAAGAUUCAUCGGUAUAGGAUGGGCAUGCGUCUGAUUAGCUAGUUGGUGGGGUAACGGCUCACCAAGGCGACGAUCAGUAGGGGUCCUGAGAGGAAGGUCCCCCACACUGGCACUGAGAUACGGGCCAGACUCCUACGGGAGGCAGCAGUAGGGAAUAUUGGGCAAUGGACGAGAGUCUGACCCAGCCAUGCCGCGUGCAGGAAGACGGCGUUCUGCGUUGUAAACUGCUUUUAUCUGGGAAGAAAAUGCCCUUGCGAGGGAAAUUGCCGGUACCAGAUGAAUAAGCACCGGCUAACUCCGUGCCAGCAGCCGCGGUAAUACGGAGGGUGCAAGCGUUGUCCGGAUUUAUUGGGUUUAAAGGGUGCGUAGGCGGCUUUUUAAGUCAGUGGUGAAAGUUUUGGGCUCAACCCAGAAACU
Molecule: ribosomal RNA, 581 nt
Filed under: uncultured Actinomycetes bacterium
Lineage: Bacteria; Bacillati; Actinomycetota; Actinomycetes
Description: bacterial SSU rRNA
Rfam family: Bacterial small subunit ribosomal RNA
Source: RNAcentral